This 419-nucleotide ribosomal RNA is filed under the name uncultured Bifidobacterium sp. RNAcentral describes it as "bacterial SSU rRNA". It matches the Rfam family "Bacterial small subunit ribosomal RNA", at positions 213 to 640 of the family's 1533-position model. Lineage: Bacteria; Bacillati; Actinomycetota; Actinomycetes; Bifidobacteriales; Bifidobacteriaceae. The record is from RNAcentral.
UAUCGGUAUGGGAUGGGGUCGCGUCCUAUCAGCUUGAUGGCGGGGUAACGGCCCACCAUGGCUUCGACGGGUAGCCGGCCUGAGAGGGCGACCGGCCACAUUGGGACUGAGAUACGGCCCAGACUCCUACGGGAAGCAGCAGUGGGGAAUAUUGCACAAUGGGCGCAAGCCUGAUGCAGCGACGCCGCGUGCGGGAUGACGGCCUUCGGGUUGUAAACCGCUUUUGACUGGGAGCAAGCCCUUCGGGGUGAGUGUACCUUUCGAAUAAGCACCGGCUAACUACGUGCCAGCAGCCGCGGUAAUACGUAGGGUGCAAGCGUUAUCCGGAAUUAUUGGGCGUAAAGGGCCCGUAGGCGGUUCGUCGCGUCCGGUGUGAAAGUCCAUCGCUUAACGGUGGAUCCGCGCCGGGUACGGGCGGG